AUGGAUAAACUGACCAUCAUCUCAGGAUGUCUCUUUCUGGCCACCAAUAUCUUCGCCAUAGCCAGCAUCGCCAACCCCGACUGGAUCAACACCAGGGAGUCAGCGGGAGCACUCACUGGGGGCUAGUGCCACAGUGUCAAACAAUCCAUGGACGAGACCGGACGUGCAUCCCUCCUCAGCUGCCCCCAGAGUGGGUCACCACACUGUUUUUUAUCAUCACAGGAAUCAUUUCAUUGACUGUCACAUGUGGUUUGCUGGUGGCUUCCCACUGGCGAAGAGAAGCUACAAAAUAUGCUUGAUGGAUAGCAUUCACUGGAAUUAUCCUUUUCUGUAUGGCUGCCCUAAUAUUUCCAAUAGGAUUUUACAUCAAUGAAGUCAGAGGUCAACCUUAUAAAUUACCCAACAACACAGUAGUUGGGUCAUCAUAUGUACUUUUUGUCUUAUCGAUUUUCUUUACAAUAGUAGGACUUCUAUUUGCUGGCAAAGUUUGUUUACCAGGCUGAUGAAUGUCUAAACUGCAUGACUCUAUUAUUUUUUAUUUUAUUUUAUUUUAUUUUUUAUUUUUAUUUUUAGAGGGUGGGAGGACAAAGACAAGGCAUCUGAGCUGUCCUCUCAUAGGAAAAUGCUUAGGUGAAACUGAUGCUGAAAAGGAAAAAAUGCUUUGAUUUAUUCUCAAUAUGCACUUUGGAUUAAAAAAAAAAAAUUGAGAGCCUUUCCAUAACCAAAUACAGACAAUAAUGACUAAAUCUCCUGAGCAUAUUCAGGCAGUCAGUCUGCACUGUGAUAGCAACCUAGUGAAGGAGAAUGCUUUAAACUGAAAAGCAUUUGGCCCUUUGUGACUCUGUUGUUCCGUUUUUAACAUCUAAUGAUUCAUUUGAGAAAAAAAGUCUAAGUAUUUAUGAAUCAUGGUGGACCAGAGGGAUGCAAAAGAAGUUCAUGUGGGGCUGGCCUCACCUCCUAAGAAAUUAGUGUUCACAAUUUCCUUGUAAUGGUAUGAGCCUUUGGCACCAGAACGGAUUACCAUUGCAUUACUGCACCAACAAGCCAAUAGAUCAAAAUGUGUUUGCUAAAAUGUAUGUAAAAAUUCUGAAAUUCCCUAAUCUCUAUGUACAAAAAGAAAAGGAAAAAAAAUCAAAACACUA
This is a non-coding RNA of Marmota flaviventris (yellow-bellied marmot), 1142 nucleotides long. The record is from RefSeq and is a predicted model, not a curated record. Lineage: Eukaryota; Metazoa; Chordata; Mammalia; Rodentia; Sciuridae.